Molecule: ribosomal RNA, 500 nt
Filed under: Brevibacterium sp. CMT510
Lineage: Bacteria; Bacillati; Actinomycetota; Actinomycetes; Micrococcales; Brevibacteriaceae
Description: bacterial SSU rRNA
Rfam family: Bacterial small subunit ribosomal RNA
Source: RNAcentral
GGAAACCCUGAUGCAGCGACGCAGCGUGCGGGAUGACGGCCUUCGGGUUGUAAACCGCUUUCAGCAGGGAAGAAGCGCAAGUGACGGUACCUGCAGAAGAAGUACCGGCUAACUACGUGCCAGCAGCCGCGGUAAUACGUAGGGUACGAGCGUUGUCCGGAAUUAUUGGGCGUAAAGAGCUCGUAGGUGGUUGGUCACGUCUGCUGUGGAAACGCAACGCUUAACSUUGCGCGUGCAGUGGGUACGGGCUGACUAGAGUGCAGUAGGGGAGUCUGGAAUUCCUGGUGUAGCGGUGAAAUGCGCAGAUWUCAGGAGGAACACCGGUGGCGAAGGCGGGACUCUGGGCUGUAACUGACACUGAGGAGCGAAAGCAUGGGGAGCGAACAGGAUUAGAUACCCUGGUAGUCCAUGCCGUAAACGUUGGGCACUAGGUGUGGGGGGCAUUCCACGUUCUCCGCGCCGUAGCUAACGCAUUAAGUGCCCCGCCUGGGGGAGUACGG